GUAGGUGGCAAGCGUUGUCCGGAAUUAUUGGGCGUAAAGCGCGCGCAGGCGGUUCUUUAAGCCUGAUGUGAAAGCCCACGGCUCAACCGUGGAGGGUCAUUGGAAACUGGAGAACUUGAGUACAGAAGAGGAAAGCGGAAUUCCACGUGUAGCGGUGAAAUGCGUAGAGAUGUGGAGGAACACCAGUGGCGAAGGCGGCUUUCUGGUCUGUAACUGACGCUGAGGCGCGAAAGCGUGGGGAGCAAACAGGGAUUAGAUACCCUGGUAGUCCACGCCGUAAACGAUGAGUGCUAAGUGUUAGGGGGUUUCCGCCCCCUUAGUGCUGCAGCUAACGCAUUAAGCACUCCGCCUGGGGAUACGGCCGCAAGGCUG
RNAcentral lists this ribosomal RNA (372 nucleotides) under uncultured organism. RNAcentral describes it as "partial 16S ribosomal RNA". It matches the Rfam family "Bacterial small subunit ribosomal RNA", at positions 527 to 896 of the family's 1533-position model. The record is from RNAcentral.